This 175-nucleotide ribosomal RNA is filed under the name Tolypocladium sp. 20124521a. RNAcentral describes it as "partial 18S ribosomal RNA". It matches the Rfam family "Eukaryotic small subunit ribosomal RNA", at positions 1659 to 1831 of the family's 1831-position model. Lineage: Eukaryota; Fungi; Ascomycota; Sordariomycetes; Hypocreales; Ophiocordycipitaceae. The record is from RNAcentral.
UUUGUACACAACGCCCGUCGCUACUACCGAUUGAAUGGCUCAGUGAGGCGUCCGGACUGGCCCAGAGAGGUGGGCAACUACCACUCAGGGCCGGAAAGCUCUCCAAACUCGGUCAUUUAGAGGAAGUAAAAGUCGUAACAAGGUCUCCGUUGGUGAACCAGCGGAGGGAUCAUUA